RNAcentral lists this ribosomal RNA (253 nucleotides) under uncultured bacterium. Its description in RNAcentral is "partial 16S ribosomal RNA". It matches the Rfam family "Bacterial small subunit ribosomal RNA", at positions 524 to 776 of the family's 1533-position model. The record is from RNAcentral.
UACGUAGGUGGCAAGCGUUGUCCGGAAUUACUGGGUGUAAAGGGCGUGUAGGCGGGACUGCAAGUCAGAUGUGAAAUUCGCAGGCUCAACCUGGGGGCUGCAUCUGAAACUGUGGAUCUUGAGUGCUGGAGAGGAAAGCGGAAUUCCUAGUGUAGCGGUGAAAUGCGUAGAUAUUAGGAGGAGCACCAGUGGCGAAGGCGGCUUUCUGGACAGUAACUGACGCUGAGGCGCGAAAGCGUGGGGAGCAAACAGG